This is a non-coding RNA of Myotis brandtii (Brandt's bat), 76 nucleotides long. Lineage: Eukaryota; Metazoa; Chordata; Mammalia; Chiroptera; Vespertilionidae. The record is from Rfam.
GAUGGUUCUCAAGUGACACACCCCAGAAUCGGGCUCCCUCCUCUCUGGUUCCGGGGGGCAUCACCUGACAACUGCC